GGGUACUGGGAAUUGAACUCAGGACCUCAUGCUUGCAAGGCAGGUGCUGCACCACUGAGCUAAAUCCCCAGCCCCUCCCCACAACCUUUAAAGACAGAGAUUCCCAUUAUAUUACCAGGAUUGAGUGCAGUGGCUAUGCACAAGCACUCCCUAUGCAAAGAGAUAUUGAUGCCACUCUUAGUAUGAUGUCCAUCUUAGUUUAAUGCCCAAUUGUCAUAGGACAUUAUAACAGCCAACUUCUGGGCUCAGUCUCUUGAGUUUUGGCAACUACAGGGGUGCAUCAUCACAUCUGGCUUCAGGACGUACUUUUUUGUGGUGUGGUAUGGUGGUGCAUGCCUGUAAACCCAGCACUCAGGAGGCUGAGACAAAAGUAUUUCGAGUUUGGGACUAGUCUGCACUACACCAAAAAUAAGGAAUCAUGGUAAGUAGGUUUACUGACUCAGGAAUAGGUUGGUUCACCAACUGAGGAGGAAAAAAAAAAUCAAUGAAAUUUGCCCAAUUACGAGAUCAGCAAAGAAAGCCAUGUCUCAUAAUACCUUAUGUGGCACAAGAUCCAUCAUUCAGUUAUGAAACUCAGCAUUCUAGGACGAAAGACCCACCGCCUCAAUCUAUUAAGGGUCAUCUACCAAAAGCCUGCAGCUAAAAACCUCACAAUGAGGGACCAAAUGUCUCCCUGAACGGAAAGAAGCACAAGGGGUGUCCACUGUCACCGUUUAUGUUUGGCUGUGCUGGAGACCUGGCCACUGUAAUGGCAGGAAAAACAUAAAAAUGGCAUGAGUUGAGAAAGACAUAAACCUCUCUUUAUUAGUAAAUGACACGAUUAUCAUUGUUGAAAAAGUCUAUGAAAUAGCUAUUAGGAUUUAUACAUGAAUUUAGCAAAGCUGCUGAAUAUACAAUGAAUACACAAAAAUUAACAUUUCUAAAUAUACAAAAUGAACUGGAAAUUGAGAUUUUAGAAGUAUCUUAUAUAAUGGCACUAAACUGCAUAAAAUCCUUAGCAACCAAUUCAACAGAAUAUGUCCAAGGUCUGUACAAUGAAAAAUAGACAUGAUAUACAACCACUUCACAGAGAAUGGUUCGUUAUGCUCUCCAGCUAAGGAAGAUUAAAUUACAUUCACAGGAAUCCUAAGGUACAUUGAGGAAUCCUUUAAAAUAAAAACUAUCCAUUCCCAUCCAUCCUCUCCUGGCUUGAACUCAGGGUUUCAUACCUGCUAGGCAAGCACUCUAACCUGAGCUACAUCCCCAACCCCUUACAACAGGGUCUCACUAGGCCCAGGCUGGUCUCUAAGUUGAUAUCUUCCAGCCUCAGCCUCCUGAGUUAUGGGAUUACAGUCAUAAACCACCAUGCAUGGCCUCCAUGUUUGGUUUAGAACAAUGGAUUCCACUCUAGUAUUUUAUUUGUUCCAGUCAAGAUACAAGGGAUGGCUCAGCUAAGAGGAAUGUUCCAAUUCUAACAGAAAAGAUUUCAUAACUUUCUUUAAAUGAUGAGUGACAAAUAUACCACUAUGGUAACCAUUAAGAUACCUAACAAUGUUACCAUGAUGCAGUCCUUUGAGUCAUACUUUCAUGGGCCUGGGAUUCACAGCCUGAAUAUUUGAUGUUUUCUGGCCUGCUGACUAUGCUCUCUUCUAAUGAGUAGAAGAAAUCUUCCAAAUAAAAAGCUGUGCGGAAGCAAACCCUCCAUAUCUCUGUUUACUACUUUUGCAGUUGCUGAUAAUGCAGAUUCUGACAGCUCAGACUCAGUUUGAGGGAGAGCCUCCUCCUCUCCCUGGCUGCCACCACAGCCUUCUGAAGAAGUGUGCAAAGGGACCUCAUGCUCCAAGCAUGGACAAGUCACGCUCAGUCUCAAGACAUAUGCUAACUCUUCUGAGCCCCCGAAUACCGUGCCCCUGGGAAAAGCUGAAGAACUACAAGUCCCCUGGUACUGCACUGUGCCCACCAAAGACCCAAGAGGGCAGAGGGAUGCUGGGAAUUUAACCAAGUCAUCUGACUCAGACACUGUAAAACAUGGGGCAGAGCUUUCUGUGUAGUGAAGAGUUAGGCAGCUGAAAUUCAAUCUCUGUGAAGUGAUAAGCCUUAAUUUCUGAGAACCCCAUUACUAAGAUCUUUAACUCAACACAGUAGGGCAGUACUUAGUCAAAUAACAAUAUAAAGACAUAGAGGGAAAGGCCCCGUGCCAACUUUCAGGUUUAGAAGUGUAUUUCAUGAUUUUUUUCAGCAGUACAUUUUAGAACAAAACUAACCCAGCAACGAACUACAUGUACAUAAACUCAGGAGUUGCCUAAACCAGGGGACUUUGUAUAAAAGAUUCUAUUCAUAAAUAAAACAACCUUCGUUCAAAGUAA
Molecule: long non-coding RNA, 2345 nt
Organism: Cavia porcellus (domestic guinea pig)
Lineage: Eukaryota; Metazoa; Chordata; Mammalia; Rodentia; Caviidae
Exons: 2
Source: RefSeq, a predicted model, not a curated record